UGAUGGGCCUGACCCAUGAGAAAGCAGGGGUAUGAGCCCCAGGACACAGUGGGAGGUGAGGCUGGAGAUGUACAGAGAGGGUUCUGUACGGCCUUUGGGGAGCACUUCGCUGCAUAGCCUGCUUUAUGUGACCCAGAGAAUCUAACUGGGAUACUCAGGGAACUAACUCCCUUCCUUUGCAGACCAGGAGCUGAGGAGGGGGUCAUGUGGAAAACAGGCUUCCUCUUGAAGAAACAGCUCCUCAACCAAGGAAGAAAUGUUAGGGUGUUAUCAGACACUACAGGGCUGCUUUUGAGGACAAGGGUGCGCUUGGAGUACAUGUGAGCCCCAAAUUUCCCCAAAGUCUUCCUUCUAGUAUUGGGGCCUCAUCCUUAAUCCUGUGAAUGUUCAACCCUUCAGCUAGGAAGCCUGGUGGGACUGCAAACUGAGCAGAUCAGAAGCUCCAGCUCUUGAGUUGUGUUUUCAGGUAUCUUGGCCAUGCAUCUCCAAGGGAUAAAAUUCAGCAGGGAAAUCUCUAGGUUUCAGCCUCUGGCUUGAAUUGGGACUUGAGAGGUUUACACUGUUAUUUUCUAAGUUUUUCAGUGCCAUUAAAAGUAGCCACCCAUCCUGGCCCUGGGUCUCCUACAGCCACACCACUUUAGGUCAGCAGCAAUGUAGUCUCUCAGAGGUAGGCCUUCAGUGGGCAUACCAUCCCAGGUAACUUCCGGUGAACUAAUUUUCCACGUGCCUGGGCUGCUCAAUUGUCACCUGAGAACACCAGUAGAACUUGCACUAUUCUCUCCCCUGCCCAAGGCAGAUAACCAAUCACAGAUCUUUAUUUCCCUACUUCUCUGUAAUUUGCAAUAAUCACGCCUGGCACUGAAUUCUACAUCGGUUAGGAACUUUUCACUGAUAUGUAUUGGAAAUGCAGUCUGUUGUAAGCGAAGAAAGUAUAUUAGAAGAAUAUCAUGGGAUCAUUGAUUCACAGAAAGGUGGAGGAUUAGUUUUGGAAAAAGGAUUACAGUUAAAGCAAUCUGGAAAGCCAAGAGUAGGAAGAGAGCAACCACUCUGAUGUUUCUGGGCCAUUGCUGGGAACUGCUCUGUACAUUCAUUCAACAGCCCUGGGUACUUGGCAGGAGGCAACAAUGGACCCAAGUUCCACGCUCUGGUGGGAGCAGGGAGAGGGGACUUCAGGUCCUCUGCAUUCGUGGGCUACAAGGCACUCCAACACUGUGGGAGAUUCCCAAAUCUGAAGAGGAGAGGGUGGAUAGCUAAGAAUAGCAAAAAUAGAACAGGUAGAUUUAUAAUCAGGCACCGAGGGAAGGAAACAGGAAAGUGUAUUUUCCCAUAAAUAAAGUGCCUCAUGUGUGUAUAAAUUCUUUUUUUUUUUUUAAUAUCAGGGAUUGAAUUCAGGGGUACCUGGCCACUGAGCCACAUCCCCAGCCCUAUUCUGAAUUUUAUUUUAAGAUAGGGUCUCACUGAAUUGCUUAGCGCCUUGCAGUUGCAAUUCUCCUGUCUCAGCCUCCCAAGCCGCUGGGAUUACAGGCGUGUGCCACCGUGCCUGGCUGUAUGUAUAAAUUCUGGAAUAAUAUUCACACAUUGGAUUCUGAGAUGCGCCAGGCAGUGGAAGUGUUGGGGAUGGUAUGGUCUGAAAUGG
This 1636-nucleotide long non-coding RNA is filed under the name Marmota monax (woodchuck). Lineage: Eukaryota; Metazoa; Chordata; Mammalia; Rodentia; Sciuridae. The record is from RNAcentral.